RNAcentral lists this ribosomal RNA (561 nucleotides) under uncultured bacterium. RNAcentral's name for it is "partial 16S ribosomal RNA". It matches the Rfam family "Bacterial small subunit ribosomal RNA", at positions 355 to 909 of the family's 1533-position model. The record is from RNAcentral.
UGGGGAAUUUUGGACAAUGGGGGAAACCCUGAUCCAGCCAUCCCGCGUGUGCGAUGAAGGCCUUCGGGUUGUAAAGCACUUUUGGCAGGAAAGAAACGUCGCGGGUUAAUACCCCGCGGAACUGACGGUACCCGCAGAAUAAGCACCGGCUAACUACGUGCCAGCAGCCGCGGUAAUACGUAGGGUGCAAGCGUUAAUCGGAAUUACUGGGCGUAAAGCGUGCGCAGGCGGUUCGGAAAGAAAGAUGUGAAAUCCCAGAGCUUAACUUUGGAACUGCAUUUUUAACUACCGGGCUAGAGUGUGUCAGAGGGAGGUGGAAUUCCGCGUGUAGCAGUGAAAUGCGUAGAUAUGCGGAGGAACACCGAUGGCGAAGGCAGCCUCCUGGGAUAACACUGACGCUCAUGCACGAAAGCGUGGGGAGCAAACAGGAUUAGAUACCCUGGUAGUCCACGCCCUAAACGAUGUCAACUAGCUGUUGGGGUCUUCGGACCUUGGUAGCGCAGCUAACGCGUGAAGUUGACCGCCUGGGGAGUACGGUCGCAAGAUUAAAACUCAAAUGAA